RNAcentral lists this ribosomal RNA (550 nucleotides) under Terebra fujitai. Its description in RNAcentral is "Cinguloterebra fujitai partial 12S ribosomal RNA". The record is from RNAcentral. Lineage: Eukaryota; Metazoa; Mollusca; Gastropoda; Neogastropoda; Terebridae.
UACCAAGAAAUUUAGUCAUACAAAUUAUGGUGAAAAGACAGUUAAGUGCCGGGGUGAGAGGUUGUCUAAUGCAAGUAUAUAGAAGUAAAAUUUAAGUGUAGUUGUAUAAAUCGAAGGUAACUUAAAAGCUGAAUCUGUGAAAUCCUUGAGGGAAACUGGGAUUAGGUACCCCAUUAUUCUUGGAUGUAAAAAGGAAGUGGUUUUACCAGAGUACUAUGAACGUUGUAAAUUUAAAACUCAAAGAACUUGGCGGUGUUUUAGACCAUUUAGGGGAACCUGUCUCGUAAUCGAUAAUCCACGUUGUACCUGACCUUUUUUUGUUUUCAGUUUGUAUACCGUUGUCGUCAGGUAACUUUUUAGAAGAUAGAAGUUGGCCGGAAAAAUAAUUGAUUUAAUACGUCAAAUCAAGGUGCAGCUAAUAAGAAGGGGAGGAUGGGUUACAGUUAUAUAGUUAUAAUUACGGAUAAUUAUAUGUAAGUAUAAAUUAUGAAGGCGGACUUAAAAGUAAAUUAAAUUAUGAAAAUGACUUGAAUAAGGCUCUGAAACGUGU